GAGGGUGUAGCUCAGUGGUAGAGCACGUGCUUAGCAUGCAUGAAGUCCUGGGUUCAAUCCCAGUACUUCCA
RNAcentral lists this transfer RNA (71 nucleotides) under Camelus bactrianus (Bactrian camel). It matches the Rfam family "tRNA". From Rfam's summary of the family: Transfer RNA (tRNA) molecules are approximately 80 nucleotides in length. The record is from Rfam by way of RNAcentral. RNAcentral also lists the same sequence under 1 other name. Lineage: Eukaryota; Metazoa; Chordata; Mammalia; Artiodactyla; Camelidae.